Molecule: transfer RNA, 69 nt
Filed under: Marmota monax (woodchuck)
Lineage: Eukaryota; Metazoa; Chordata; Mammalia; Rodentia; Sciuridae
Description: tRNA.Ala
Source: RNAcentral
GGAUUGUGGCUCAAGUGGUAGAGUGCUCGCCUAGCAUGUGUGAGGCACUGGGUUCAACCCUCAGCACCA